This 468-nucleotide ribosomal RNA is filed under the name uncultured bacterium. RNAcentral describes it as "partial 16S ribosomal RNA". It matches the Rfam family "Bacterial small subunit ribosomal RNA", at positions 28 to 507 of the family's 1533-position model. The record is from RNAcentral.
GACGAACGCUGGCGGCGUGCUUAACACAUGCAAGUCGAACGGAAAGGCCCUGCUUUUGUGGGGUGCUCGAGUGGCGAACGGGUGAGUAACACGUGAGUAACCUGCCCUUGACUUUGGGAUAACUUCAGGAAACUGGGGCUAAUACCGGAUAGGAGCUCCUGCUGCAUGGUGGGGGUUGGAAAGUUUCGGCGGUUGGGGAUGGACUCGCGGCUUAUCAGCUUGUUGGUGGGGUAGUGGCUUACCAAGGCUUUGACGGGUAGCCGGCCUGAGAGGGUGACCGGCCACAUUGGGACUGAGAUACGGCCCAGACUCCUACGGGGGGCAGCAGUGGGGAAUAAUGCACAAUGGGCGGAAGCCUGAUGCAGCAACGCCGCGUGCGGGAUGACGGCCUUCGGGUUGUAAACCGCUUUCGCCUGUGACGAAGCGUGAGUGACGGUAAUGGGUAAAGAAGCACCGGCUAACUACGUG